GGGCCCGCACAAGCGGUGGAGCAUGUGGUUUAAUUCGAUGCAACGCGAAGAACCUUACCAUCCCUUGACAUCCAGUGAACUUUCUAGAGAUAGAUUGGUGCCUUCGGGAACACUGAGACAGGUGCUGCAUGGCUGUCGUCAGCUCGUGUUGUGAGAUGUUGGGUUAAGUCCCGCAACGAGCGCAACCCUUAUCCUUAGUUGCCAGCACGUAAUGGUGGGAACUCUGGGAGACUGCGGUGAUAAACCGGAGGAAGGUGGGACGACGUCAAGGUCAUCAUGGCCCUUACGGGGAGUGGGCUACACACGUGCUACAAUGGCGCGUACAAAGGGCAGCGAACUGCGAAGGUAAGC
RNAcentral lists this ribosomal RNA (351 nucleotides) under uncultured bacterium. RNAcentral describes it as "bacterial SSU rRNA". It matches the Rfam family "Bacterial small subunit ribosomal RNA", at positions 917 to 1268 of the family's 1533-position model. The record is from RNAcentral.